AUUGUUCCAGUGGAUGGUCAUAUGGAAUUAUUCAUCCCUAACGUAUCUGGUUAAAUAUAUUCGUAUUUUAUUUGCAGUGUAUGCAUAUUGCAAUAUCUGAAGCUUACAAUCCGCGACUGGCAAAAAAGGAGAAAAUCGCAGACACCUUCGUGUAGAUUAGGCCUAUAUGCAUGUGUACAUGUUUCAAAGAUGUCUCACAAAGUUAUUGUCUGUGUAUGUCUGCUGGUAACUCUCGUUUCGAUCACGAGUUCUCGUGUGGUGGAUAUCAAUGGUGAUGAAGAGGCUAUCGAUCAAACUGCAUUGGACUUGGUGAACGAUGGUUCUCCAGCUCACAUUCCAAGAGUUGUGAGACGCAGUGCUGGAGACAAGAAAAAACGUGGUUGCUGCUUCGCGUGUUAUCCUUGGUGCACUUGCUGCUACGCCUAAGAACCUUUGACAGCUAGAUAUCAUCGUAGAAUUUAAUCACUUUUUAGUGAUAUUUUGUUUUAUCAUCUAUUCUGACUAGUAAAAUCAUUAAGUGUAAAGGGAGGGUCAUUAAUGUUUAUUACUACUAAUAAUAAUACUACUACCUCUACUACUACUACUACAACUACUACUACUACUACUGAUAAUAAUAAUGAUAAAUAAUAAUGAAGAUAAUAGUAAUGAUAAUAAUGUUUAUAAUAAUAAUGAUAAUUAAGAUUGAUCAAAUACAUGAUAUAACAUCUCUCUAUGCGCUUUGCCAUCAAUGUGAACAAUAAUAUCGUCGGCGGUCAGCUAAACUGUCGUAUCACACAUACGACCCUAUCUCACUCACACAAAACCCAUUUCGGAGAAAAUAGACUGUACUGUAAGCGUACUGUAAUUUUCAUAAUUAGUUCUCCAGCCUUACAACAUAGAUGACAUAUUCAUUGCUAGAAAAGUACACGGUUAGAGAGACCAAAUUAAAGUUUCGCUUAAUUUUACAUCAUCGAAUUUCUAAUUUGCGUGUGACUACAUGUAAAUUGUGCAUACAA
This 995-nucleotide unclassified non-coding RNA is filed under the name Lytechinus variegatus (green sea urchin). RNAcentral describes it as "uncharacterized LOC121416913, transcript variant X4". The record is from RNAcentral. Lineage: Eukaryota; Metazoa; Echinodermata; Echinoidea; Temnopleuroida; Toxopneustidae.